AAUUUAUAGACGAAGAGGCGAGAGAACAGGCUCAUUGACCCUCUGGCAACCAUCUGCAUAGAAAGGUGCCACGUCCUGCCCAACAAAGGGAAAAUAUAAAUU
RNAcentral lists this non-coding RNA (102 nucleotides) under Pontibacter ummariensis. RNAcentral's name for it is "SAM-I sequence". It matches the Rfam family "SAM riboswitch aptamer (S box leader)". From Rfam's summary of the family: The SAM riboswitch is found upstream of a number of genes which code for proteins involved in methionine or cysteine biosynthesis in Gram-positive bacteria. The SAM riboswitch acts at the level of transcription termination control. The predicted structure consists of a complex stem-loop region followed by a single stem loop terminator region. The record is from Rfam by way of RNAcentral. Lineage: Bacteria; Pseudomonadati; Bacteroidota; Cytophagia; Cytophagales; Hymenobacteraceae.